AGACCCGAAACCCGGUGAUCUAGCCAUGGGCAGGUUGAAGGUUGGGUAACACUAACUGGAGGACCGAACCGACUAAUGUUGAAAAAUUAGCGGAUGACCUGUGGCUGGGGGUGAAAGGCCAAUCAAACCGGGAGAUAGCUGGUUCUCCCCGAAAGCUAUUUAGGUAGCGCCUCGUGAAUUCAUCUCCGGGGGUAGAGCACUGUUUCGGCUAGGGGGCCAUCCCGGCUUACCAACCCGAUGCAAACUGCGAAUACCGGAGAAUGUUAUCACGGGAGACACACGGCGGGUGCUAACGUCCGUCGUGAAGAGGGAAACAACCCAGACCGCCAGCUAAGGUCCCAAAGUCAUGGUUAAGUGGGAAACGAUGUGGGAAGGCCCAGACAGCCAGGAUGUUGGCUUAGAAGCAGCCAUCAUUUAAAGAAAGCGUAAUAGCUCACUGGUCGAGUCGGCCUGCGCGGAAGAUGUAACGGGGCUAAACCAUGCACCGAAGCUGCGGCAGCGAACGUAUCACCCAAGACAA
This 520-nucleotide ribosomal RNA is filed under the name Salmonella enterica. RNAcentral describes it as "partial 23S ribosomal RNA". It matches the Rfam family "Bacterial large subunit ribosomal RNA", at positions 711 to 1219 of the family's 2925-position model. Lineage: Bacteria; Pseudomonadati; Pseudomonadota; Gammaproteobacteria; Enterobacterales; Enterobacteriaceae. RNAcentral also lists the same sequence under 6 other names. The record is from RNAcentral.